GGGCCAGCGAGAUGGCUCAGCGGGCGAGAGCCUGAAGACUUUGGUUCAAUCCCUAGAUCCCACAAGUUAGUAGCCAAGAAUCAAUUCCUGAAGUGUCUUCUGACAUCCACAUGAGCGCGCCCUGGCACACUUGCCCACAAACACAAUAAAUAGCCCCUGCACUUAAGGCAUGCAGUUGAAAUCACACACGAAUGACAAAGAUGGGAACGAGAGGGCAGAGUUGUAGGGUCAAGGUGAACAUCUCAGAAAUGGCACACUGAGAGACAGAUUAGUCCAGCAGUUUAAAUGAGGCACGAUAAACUAUCCCACAAGAAAAUGAAUUUCAACUUCAGAAUGAUUGAUAACUUUGUGAAUCAACCACAACAAAUGAGAAAGGGGCAGACUAGUCAUUUUAUACGCUUCAGCAUUAAAGAUGCCCAGCUGCAACAAUGAGCUGGCCCGCCAACGCCUUUGAGAGUCAAACCCUAGCUGGAGAUUGGACCAGGCUGGGGAUGCCGGCAGAUCGCUCGGCCGGAUGGUGUCCUGCGUGGCACCGGAAGGAUGCCGUGAGUUUCUCAGGGCCUGUGACCUUCGCAAAGGACUCUGGAACCCCGGCCGCUGCCGCUGCCUCUGCCGCUGCCGCUGCUCCCGGAGGCCGCAGUUCUGUGCCGGUCGGCGUCAGGGAAGAGGACAAGGCGGGAUGUCGCGGCGCGUCCUUUUGGUUCAAGAUUGUUUACGGUUAGCGACCAGCGGGAUGAAAGGAUGGACGCUGAAAGAUAAAGGGAAGCAAAGAUCUCGGGAAGAAAGUGUUGCUGGCCCGGACUCACAAACCUAUGUCACGUUUGUGCUUUAGCUCCCCGUGCAUCUGCUUGGCGGGACUGGCGAGUGGAGGAGGUACAUCAUUCAACUCUGCCACCAUGAAUUUGAUUGACUUAGAUUCCUACAACAUGUGAGAAGAUAGAGAAUUGUUCCUGUGCAGGACUAGCUGAUUUCACGUCAUACAUGUUUCAUCUGUGCUGUUGCAAAUGAAAGAAUUUAUUUUCUUGGGUAUGGCAGGGAGGCAUCAGGAAGUCUUGUGAGCAGACAUAUAUUUGGGAGAACAAAACUGGAAGGUUCUUGAGGGUCUCACUAGCAUUUAGAAAAAGAAGCAAACAACUGCUGGGUUUGGAGACUGGAAAAAACAAGUUCAGAGGAAAGAGCAUCUCCCACUAUCAAGUUCAGAGGAAAGAACAUCUCACACUAUCGAGCUACCUGCAAGCUGAAAAGAGCUCCAAGGUUACUUGCAGUCUUUGUGAACAUCACCCAUGCUGAGCUUUAGAGCCUGUCCUGGAACUCACUCUAUAGACCAGGCUGGCCUCGAACUCACAGAGAACCACCUGCCUCUGCCUGCUGAGUGCCGGAACUAAAGAUGUGCACCACCACCACCUAGCUUUAAGUUUUUCACAGCCCUUUGGAGCGCUCCUGCCUUACUUCUUGCCCUGGCCACUGUGGAACUCUUCAGCAGCUUCAUAUUCUACUGGCAACAGUUAGCCAUCUUUCUUGGCCUGACAACUUCGUCCUGGAUGCCCUUGUCCAUCACUCUCUGCUGCUGCUUUGUGUUAUCAACUCAGCCAGCACUACUAAAUGUGGGUAGAUAUUCAGUGGUGUCAGCAUCUAGUUUCCACAGCUUAUAAAGUUUUCAAGACUGACCAGGAGAUGGAAGUAUUGGACUAAGGAAUGAACACUUCCGUUCCUGUCCAAGGCUGCUUUGGGAGCCACAAGGUGCUGCUCCGGCUGUGACAUUACCAGGUAGAAGAGAUAAAUGAUGCACAGGAUGCUUCUAGCUCAUCAGCAGUUGAGAUUCCAGUUCCCACACCACUGAUCAUCCCUGGAUUGGCCACCAUAGGGCUGGAUGUAAAGGAUGAGGAGAAAAGCAAUGUUAACAUGUUUUUGAGGAAUCAGAUAUUGUUAUCAAAAUAUGAUGUUAUAAUUUUUUUUUGUUUUUUUGAGACAGGGUUUCCCUGUGGCUUUGGAGGCUGUCCUGGAACUAUCUCUUGUAGACCAGGCUGAUCUCGAACUCACAGAGAUCCACCUGCCUCUGCAUCCCUAGUGCUGAGAUUAAAGUGCGUGCGCCACCAACUCCUGGCUCAAAAAUAUAAUAUUAUAAUUUAACUUAAUUGGUUACAGAUUUUAAGAAGCCAUAGUCAUCCUGAAGGAUUUCUGUCUAAUGUUCCUAUAAUGCUCUAUAAGUAUAUCUGUCACAAGCCUUAUGUUACUAAUAUGUUUUAUGCAUCUAUCCUCUGAUUUAAAGCCAAGAAGCAUUUCAUCUUUAACAUUGCAUUUCUUAUACAUAGCAUAAUUACUGGUACAUAGUAGGAAGCAGUGUCCUUUUGUCUAACUUGGCAGUGGGAACCAGUGAAAUUUUUAUAGCAUGGCUGUGCCAUUAUAAGGUUUUCACUGGAGGUAGAGAAAGGUUGUUAGUUGUUUUGGAAACAUGGAAGAGUGGGAGUAGGGAAAAAUCUAUUGCAGAGUUCACACUAGAGACGAUGAAGGUUAGAACUAGGGUGAUAACAGAAAAAACCAAAUGGAGAGUUACUGAGGAGGCAAGUUGGCACAAUUUGGGAAUCUAUGUGGAGAAUGAGGAGCUUCAGGCUUGGGUAAUAGUGGUGCCCCUUGAAGAUUCAGAGCAAAACAGGGAAGCAGGUUUGAGGUAGGGGAGAUCAAUUCAGUUUUGACCAUGAUAAGGUUGAGGUGACUGCUAGAGAUUUGCCAUCAAGAUUUGGGAGAUCAAAACUUAAGAGAGAAGUCAGGAGUGAAAAUAAGAAUCCCAAAUACAGCAGGUCAUUGGUGGCACACCCCUUUAAUCCCAGCACUCGGGAGGCAGAGGCAGGCUGAUCUCUGUGAGUUCGAGGCCAGCCUGGUCUCCAGAGCGAGUGCCAGGAUAGGCUCCAAAGCUACACAGAGAAACCCUGUCUCAAACAAAACAAAACAAAAAAAGAAAUACAUAGUUGGGGCUUAAAAUUGGAUGCUAUCAUUUGCAGACAGAAUAUAUAGUAAAACUUUAAGAAACUCUUGCAUUUAUGAAGUAAUUGAAAAAUGAGAAGCCCAAGAAGAAGGGAGAAAAGGAAUACCCAUAGAGAUUAGAGGAAAACCAAGACAGUGUGGUGUCAUUGCAGCCAAAGGAGGAGAGGGUUUGGGAAGGACUGAUCAGGAGCACAUGGCACUUUAUACUCCGCUAGGGAGGUGAUGGUAAGGAAAAGUUCCAUGUGGCGGAGAUGUGCAGUGUUGUGACAGGAGGUAAACCCAGCAAGGCUAGUUCAGUUCUUGUAUUGGCUGGUUUAUGUUGUCAACUUGACACAAGCUAGAGUCACUGGAGAGGAGGAAGCCUCAAUUGAGAAAAUGCUUCCGUAAGAAUAGGCUAUAGAGCCAGGCGUUGGUGGUGCACGCCUUUAAUCCCAGCACUUGGGAGGCAGAGGCAGGCGGAUGUCUAUGAGUUCAAAACCAGCCUGAUCUACAGAGCAAGUUCCAGGACAGGCUCCAAAGCUACAGAGAAACCCUGUCUUGAAAAACCAAAAAAAAAGGCUAUAGGCAAGUCUAUAAGGUAUCCAUUGUGGGUAAAGCCAACCUUGGGCAGGUCCUGGGUUCUAUAAGAAAGCAGGCUGAGCAAGCCAUGGUGAGCAAGCCAGUAAGCAGCACCCCUUUGUGGUCUCUGCAUCAGCUCCUGCCUCCAGGUUCCUGCCCUGUGUGAGUUCCUGUCCUGACUUCCUUCGAUUACGAACAGCAAUGUGGAAGUGUAACCCAAAUAACCCUUUCCUCCUCAACUUGCUUUUUGGUCAUGGUGUUUUGUUGCAGCAAUGUCAACCCUAAGAUAGUCCUGAUCCAAAAGGAUGGUUAUCAGGCCAAGGACUCUGAGCUACAUUUUGUAGAUGAUGGAGAGUCAUCAGCAGUUUUCAGAUAGGAAUGACUUGGUCAGAACAAGGUUUACAAAGGUCAGGCUGGGGACAGCAUAGGGAAUCCUAUGGAGGAUUGGGACUUGAGACAGAGCCCAUCAAAAUGAAGUGAAGGAGCACUUUGGUUGUGGGGGAAGGUACCACUUCUGAAGAUCCUUAGCAGAUAACAUUGGUAAGCCCUAAAAGCAAUAGAAACACUCAGUGAGCCAUAUAGUAAGCAUUAUUAAUAACCACAUUGACUUACCUUGUUCUUACAACAAACCUAUGAGAUAGAUAAGCAUCAUUAAUGUCAUUUUGUGCAUGAUAAAACAGAACAUAGAGAUAAAGACAUUUGAUGAACAGACUUAAUUACUAAUUGGAAGAACCUAUAUUCCAAACUGGUUGUUUGGCUAGCCAUCACCUCCCUUCAAAACAUUAAACCUAUGGCUUUCCACAAGCACUCUACUACUGACCAUAUCUAAAAGAUUUCACUAACUACUGAAGGCUGUCCUCAAACAUAAGCAGGUCUUCAACUUGCUAUCCUCCUGCCUCAGCCCUCCUAGUAGCUGGAAUUAUAGACCCAUGCUCCUGGGCCUGGCUCUAACAUCCAUUCUUAAGGACUUACAUUGCCACCUGUAACUAUUUUGGUGUCCAAGGGCCAUGCUGCCACCAGGGCCAUGUUGAUCUGAGUGGCCUGUGCUGCCACUGGGAGACAUGAUGACAUCUGGGCCUGGGUUGCUGCUGGGGGCUAUGCCUGGGUCUAUGACCCUGCAACAGCCAGAGUCUGUGUUGUCUAUGGCUUUAGUAACCACUAAAGAAGGGAUGGGUGCCUGGGGUCUGGUCAAACACCCGAGUCCAUGUUGGUCUUCUAGGGUCACACUUCCACUGGGGCCAUGGCAAUCUGGAUGACCCAUGCUACCAUCCAGGGCCGUGGUGACAACCAAGCCUCGGCUGUGAUGAGGGCCAUGUCUGGGUCUGUAGACUUACCACACCUAAGGUCUGUGUUAAUAUCUGUGACUCCUGAUACCACCAAAAGCCAUGCAAAUAUCUGGGGUCUGGGCUGUCAUCUGAAGCCAGGUAGAUCUGAGGGUGCAGUGGGGCCAUACAAAUCUGAAUGGUCUCCACUGCCACAACGUGCCAUGGUGACAUCCAGACCCAGGCUGCAGCUGAGGGCCAUGUCUCAGUCCAUGGCCCUAUAGCUGCUGGGGUCUGUGUGGAUGUCCGUGGCUCAUGAUAAUAUGGAAGGCCAUGCUGGUGCCAGGGGUCUGGUUGGUGUCCAAGUGCUACACUGUCACUGGGGUCUUACCGAUCAAAGUAGCCUGCACUGUUGCCUGGGACCAAGGUGACAUCCAAGCCCAGACCAUGUUGGCACCUGAGGCCCAUGCCACCACCAGGGCCACACCAAUCUGAGUGACCUACACUACCAUCUGGGACCAUGGUGUCAUCCAGGCCAGGGAUGCUGCUGAGGGCCCUGUCUGUGCCCAUGGCCCUACUGCAGCCAGGGUCUGAGUUGAUGUCCAUGACACCAGAUACCAUUGAAGGCCAUGCUGAUGCUAGGAGUCUGGGCUGCCACCUGGGGCCAUAUUGGUGUCCAAGGGCUGCUCUGCUGCAGGGGCCAUGCCAAUCUGGCUGGCCUGCCCUGCAACCUGGGGCCAUGGUAACAGCCAAGCCUGGGCUGCUGCCAGGGACCAUGUUUGGGUCUGUGGUCCUGUCACACUCAGAGUCUGUGUGUGUAGCCCGUGGUGUCACCAAAGGUCACAUGGAUGCCCAAGGUCUAACCAUAUCCUGUGGCCAUGGUGGUGUCUAGGACUGUGCUACUGCUGGGACCAUGGCGUCAUCUGGGCCAGGUCUACUGCUGGGGCUAUGUCUGGGUCCAUGGCCCAAUAGCAACCAUAGUCCGAAAUGAUAUCCACGGCUCCUGAUACGAAGGAAGACAAUGCCAAUGUCCGGGUUCUGGGCUACUAUCUGUGGCCAUGUUGGUGUCCACGGGCCUCACUGCUCCUGGGCCAUGUGUGUUGUAAUUUUUAAAAAGUGCUGUGAGAGAGAAAGACAUCAUGUGACAGAGUUCAGGCAGAGGGAUGUUUUUCUUAGGGGGAAAGGAUCAUAAAAAGGGGAAAGGGGAGGGGGGAGACUGGCCUCCAGGGACAGGGGCAGCUGGACUGAGGAAAGAGAGGCAGAGACAGUGAGAUUAAGAGAGAGAAACAGACAGGGAGAGAAAGAAAGAGACAGAAGGAUAAGAGGUGGGCAGGGCCCUUUUAAAAGGGAUCAUAGUCAAUAGGCACAGGUGGUGCUCUUAGGGGCAGCUGAGGGUGUAUCCUGUCAGGACUCCAAGGGCAGUCCGGAACAAAUGCCUAAAUACUAGCAAUGGCAAUGUGAGUGGCCUGCAUAGCCACAUGGGGCUGAGCCCAGGCUGCUGCCUAGGGAUAUGUCUGAGUUCAUGGCCCAACAGCAGCCAGGGUCUGGGCUGAUGUCCAUGGCUCAUGUUAGUUGCCACAGGGGGUCAUAGGAAGCAUGCAUGUUGAAAUCUGAGGGCUAUGCUGAGCCAGCCCUGCCCCUCACUGGUCUCAGGAUAGCUGGCCCUACCCUUCAUUAGACACUGCAGCAGGAGAGCUGGUUAUGCACCUGCCACACACAAUGGGAGAGCUGACCCAAGCAUUUAUGAGAGAUGGCCCCACCUCUCACCACAGGCAUGGGAGAGCUGGCCCUGAUGGCAUGAGCCUGGGAGAGCUGGCUCUGCCCCUCAUCUAAGGGGGUGGUCCCAGUGAUCCAGACCAACUAUCUCGCCUACCACUUAGACUCACAUCCUGUGCCUUGGGUUGACUCACCCUAACAGUUGCCCCAUCUGUGACAUGCUGCAAUGCUUGAAGGGUCUGGUCCUGUGGAACAAUAACCACAGGAUGUCCAUGACUCAGGGUAACAGCAGGAUAUCUGAAAGGAGUCUUGAUGAGAGCCCAGUGAUGAUGAGUGUCAGAAGCCAGAGGCCUUGAACCAGACCAAUGACUCAUUGCAAUGGCACUAAUUGGGCAUACUGCAUGACGCACCAAAGCUCCUGGUGCCACUAGGAUGAAUGAAGAGGGUUGAAAAGAUGGAGGAGUGAGGUGAUUUUUUUGUGUGUUUUUUUAUUUUAAUUAAUUUUCUUUUGUUUUUAAUCACUGCAGGGAUGAGGAGUGGAUAGGGAGGGACUGGGAGGUGAGCAGGAUUGGGGUUACAUGAUGUGAAAUUUCCAAAGAAUCAAUGAAGAAUUGUGUUUAAAAAGAAAAAUCCUCGUCUGUGCUGGGUGAUGGUGAUGCAUACCUUUAACCUCAGUGGCUGGGAGGCAGAGACAGACAGAUCUUUGUCCUAGUCUACAGAGGGAGUUCUAGGACUGCUAGGGCUGUUGCACACAGAUACCGUGUCUUAAAACAACAACAACAACAACAAUGCACAAACAAAACAACAAAAAACAACUCUUGUCUGCUAAUCUGGCAUAUUGAUAAUUUUGGAAUCAAUCUUUACUUUUCAAUACAGGUCACAUUUUUCUGUUCCUUGUAUAAACCCAGUCAUCCUGGCUUGUCUCAUGAAUAUUGUAAAAGAAUUUCUUCAAUGGAUACCAUAUGUCCCUAUGAAGAGUGUUGAUAUUUGUUUUUCUUAUGUUUUAGCAGGUAGUCAAGUGGAUUGCAAUCAGACCACAUCCAUAGCCCCUGUGAAAAACAAGUGGAAUUGAAUUUGGCUAGCUUUAUCUGGGCUGUUUAGAGAUGGUGCUACAUCUGUAUAAUUCAAAGAUCAGCAAGAAAUAGGGGUUGUUUAUAUGUAGAAUUUGGGCUAGCAGGCUCCCUUCCUUCCAGAAUUUUACCCUCCACACUUUCUAGCUGAUAUGAAAACCUUGAACUCUGUUCUCUGAUCUUCAAGCCAGUAAGGUUCCAUUUAAGCCACCAAUCAAGAACAUGACUUAGGGCUGUGUGUGGCUAGAAGUAUGUGGAUCUCAUCUAGCUUGCACCUGUUCUUUGAAAUGGCAGUUUUCUUUCAGUUUCUUACUGCUUCGGGUUACUUGUCAAUACUUAUAUGUAGCUUUUAAAGCAUAUUUUUCUCCAGAGUGUAGAGGUCUUUUAUCUGACCAAAGGUCAGUUUCACAGGUGCUACUUGGGCACCUAAGUGGAAAUCAAAACUUGUGUGUGCUAUGUUACACAACCUGUGGCACAUAUUGCAUGAAUAUUCUGGGGUGCAGCAAAAAUGUAUACCUAGGAUCCACAUGUUUGAUUUAGAUGAUGUGACAGGGUUUAUAAGCAUGUAAGAUAAAAGUGAUGAUACUUUCAAUUGGCAUGCUUGGAGGAAUGAGAAGUUUGAUAGUUGCCCAUUUGGGGAUUCUCAUUCAUUCAAAUAGCCUGACAGGUAGAGUUCUACUGUGAGCAACUCGAGUACUUCUCCCUCAAGGAGCUUCAAGGAUCAAGUAUCCUAAUAUCUAUGAAUUUUAAAAACCAGUGUUAAACUUGUAGUAAACUCUAGUUUUUAUGCAGCCUGUAGGUCAGAUGGACAGAGCAAGACUUCCACACAACCCUCUGCCAGACCUGAUGUCUGUGACAUAAAGGAGUGGAUUAAUAGACAAGCUGUUUAAAAGCUUAAAUCAGGGCAUCCAAGAAGCAAGUGUGAGUGAGUCAUGAAGACUUGCUCCAGGGUUCCAGAAAUCACCUGAAUCCUGGCAUUGUGUGGCUUGAUUGGGUUCCCUGGAAAGAGACCCAGAGAAGCCGUUGCACAGAGCUUGGAAGGGUUUCUCUGUGUAGCUUUGGAGCCUAUCCUGGCACUCACUCUGGAGACCAGGCUGGCCUCGAACUCACAGAGAUCCACCUGCAUGCUGCCUCCCGAGUGCUGGGAUUAAAGGUGUGCACCACCAACACCCGACGUUAACUGCUCUCUUUUGAGACAUAUUCUGACUGUGUACUUUGGACAGUCUUCUGAUGUGCUGUGUAACCCAGGGUGACCUUGAGUUUAUAUCUGAGUUCUGGAAUUACAGGUGUGUGGCACCAUAUUACACAAAAGAAGGGUACAAGUGUGGCAUCUUUGCUGUCAUUUUGUAUCUGUCUCCUUUACUUUGAGUUACUGAGUAUUCUAAUCAAUGAACAAUAUAUGUCACUCCUUUAAAAAUAAUCAUUGCUUAUUUACUUUCAUCAAGGCUUUUAUAAGAAUGGUUAUAGUUAGAAAAGUCUGAGUAACCUCAUCUCAGGAUAGAGCAGAAAUGCUGCUUGGUCUGUGGAUGCUGCAGCCCUCCCUUUGCUCAUUUGUGAUGAUAACUCACUCACAAGGUCAUUGUGAUGAUUUAAAGAGACAAUACCUCUGACAUGUUUACCCUUAACUUUUUACCCAUACUUCCUUGUUGGGCUCUUGAGUCCUCAUCUGUGAAC
This 9262-nucleotide long non-coding RNA is filed under the name Cricetulus griseus (Chinese hamster). RNAcentral's name for it is "lncRNA (ENSCGRG00015042234.1)". Lineage: Eukaryota; Metazoa; Chordata; Mammalia; Rodentia; Cricetidae. The record is from RNAcentral.